This 208-nucleotide long non-coding RNA is filed under the name Brassica napus (rape). RNAcentral's name for it is "long non-coding RNA (BNAP_LNC011328)". Lineage: Eukaryota; Viridiplantae; Streptophyta; Magnoliopsida; Brassicales; Brassicaceae. The record is from RNAcentral.
AAGAGGAAUACUCUUUAGCUUGAACGCUUGUCUUCUGGCGAUAAUAAUGGCCUUCCUCAUUUGUCUAGCUUUCCGCUGUUCUCCUGUUGAGCGUUGUUUUUUUAUAGAGUUCAUGUUACGUAGAUAAUGUUAAGCGUGUAAUAGGAAAAGCAUACCUGUACGUUUGCAUACAGAACAUGCAAAACUUUGCCGGAAUGGUUGAUGCCCU